CCCUUAGUUGCCAGCAUUCAGUUGGGCACUCUAGAGGGACUGCCGGUGUCAAACCGGAGGAAGGUGGGGAUGACGUCAAGUCCUCAUGGCCUCUAUGCUUAGGGCUACACACGUGCUACAAUGGAUGGUACAGAGAGCAGCGAGGCAGCGAUGUGGAGCGAAUCUCAAAAAGCCAUUCUCAGUUCGGAUUGGAGUCUGCAACUCGACUCCAUGAAGUCGGAAUCGCUAGUAAUCGCGAAUCAGCAUGUCGCGGUGAAUGCGUUCCCGGGCCUU
This 273-nucleotide ribosomal RNA is filed under the name uncultured Syntrophomonas sp. Its description in RNAcentral is "partial 16S ribosomal RNA". It matches the Rfam family "Bacterial small subunit ribosomal RNA", at positions 1108 to 1382 of the family's 1533-position model. Lineage: Bacteria; Bacillati; Bacillota; Clostridia; Eubacteriales; Syntrophomonadaceae. The record is from RNAcentral.